GCGGAGCUGCCCGGCGCGUCAGGCAAUUCAUCCCCAGGGCCAAUAAGCAUCCUCCGGGAACUGGCUCUGUCCGGAUCUUGGUCCGGGUAUCCGGUGCCCACCUGCUCACGCAGGCCUUGGGAGGAUGAGACGCCAACGGCCAUGGCGGCUCCGCA
RNAcentral lists this non-coding RNA (155 nucleotides) under Siccirubricoccus sp. G192. Its description in RNAcentral is "6S RNA". It matches the Rfam family "6S / SsrS RNA". From Rfam's summary of the family: E. coli 6S RNA was the first non coding RNA to be sequenced, but its function was unknown until recently. It consists of 184 nucleotides that fold into an extended hairpin structure with a large single-stranded internal bulge. Lineage: Bacteria; Pseudomonadati; Pseudomonadota; Alphaproteobacteria; Acetobacterales; Roseomonadaceae. The record is from RNAcentral.